GGAGGAUAGAGGUAGUAAAAGAAAUGAUCAACACCCAUAGAUAUUUUUUGUCAUUUAUAUUUAAAUUUUUAUUGUGGUAUAACAUAGCAAAGUGAAUGAUUUUUAAAUGUACUACUGUAUUAAUAUUCACAAAUUAUACAUACUUAUACAUGUAGUAAUCACAACACAGAUCAAUGUACAAAAUAUUUCAACACCCCAGAAAUCAGUACUGCUUUCUUUUUUCUUUUGUUUUGUUUGUUUUUUUUUCUGGCCAGCUAUAUAUCCCCAAGAGGCAGUUGUUACGCUGGCUUCUAUCACUGCGAUGAGUUUUGUCUGUUCUUGAAGUGCAUACAAAUGGACUUAGUACAGUCUUAUGUCUGGCCUUUUUCACCCAUUAUUUC
RNAcentral lists this long non-coding RNA (380 nucleotides) under Marmota monax (woodchuck). The record is from RNAcentral. Lineage: Eukaryota; Metazoa; Chordata; Mammalia; Rodentia; Sciuridae.